CCCUUAGAUGUUCUGGGCUGCACGCGCGCUACACUGAAGCGUUCAACGAGUAUUCACCUUGCCCGGGAGGGUUGGGUAAUCUUUUGAAAACGCUUCGUGAUGGGGAUAGAUUAUUGCAAUUAUUAAUCUUCAACGAGGAAUUCCUAGUAAGCGCGAGUCAUCAGCUCGUGCUGAUUACGUCCCUGCCCUUUGUACACACCGCCCGUCGCUCCUACCGAUUGAAUGGUCCGGUGAAAUGUUCGGACCGCGACAAGGCGGACGGUUCGCUGUCAGCUUUGCUGCGGGAAGUUCAUUAAACCUUAUCAUUUAGAGGAAGGAGAANUCGUANCA
RNAcentral lists this ribosomal RNA (330 nucleotides) under uncultured eukaryote. RNAcentral describes it as "partial 18S ribosomal RNA". It matches the Rfam family "Eukaryotic small subunit ribosomal RNA", at positions 1470 to 1796 of the family's 1831-position model. The record is from RNAcentral.